This 77-nucleotide transfer RNA is filed under the name Gammaproteobacteria bacterium. Its description in RNAcentral is "tRNA-Pro". It matches the Rfam family "tRNA". From Rfam's summary of the family: Transfer RNA (tRNA) molecules are approximately 80 nucleotides in length. Their secondary structure includes four short double-helical elements and three loops (D, anti-codon, and T loops). RNAcentral also lists the same sequence under 2 other names. Lineage: Bacteria; Pseudomonadati; Pseudomonadota; Gammaproteobacteria. The record is from RNAcentral.
CGGGGCAUGGCGCAGCCUGGUAGCGCACCUGCUUUGGGAGCAGGGAGUCGGGGGUUCAAAUCCCUCUGCCCCGACCA